RNAcentral lists this ribosomal RNA (878 nucleotides) under Inocybe calospora. Its description in RNAcentral is "LSU rRNA". It matches the Rfam family "Eukaryotic large subunit ribosomal RNA", at positions 72 to 938 of the family's 3401-position model. The record is from RNAcentral. Lineage: Eukaryota; Fungi; Basidiomycota; Agaricomycetes; Agaricales; Inocybaceae.
GGAUUCCCCUAGUAACUGCGAGUGAAGCGGGAAAAGCUCAAAUUUGAAAUCUGGCAGUCUCUGACUGUCCGAGUUGUAAUCUAGAGAAGUGUUGCCAGUGCUGGACCRUGUACAAGUCUCCUGGAAUGGAGCAUCAUAGAGGGUGAGAAUCCCGUCUUUGACAUGGACUACCAGUGUGUUAUGGUAUGCUCUCAAAGAGUCGAGUUGUUUGGGAAUGCAGCUCAAAAUGGGUGGUAAAUGCCAUCUAAAGCUAAAUAUUGGCGAGAGACCGAUAGCGAACAAGUACCGUGAGGGAAAGAUGAAAAGAACUUUGGAAAGAGAGUUAAACAGUACGUGAAAUUGCUGAAAGGGAAACGCUUGAAGUCAGUCACGUUGGCUAGAAAUCAGCCUUGCUUUUGCUUGGUGUAUUUUCUAGUCUACGGGUCAGCAUCAAUUUUGAUCAUUGGAUAAAGUCUUUGGGAAUGUGGCAUCUUUGGAUGUGUUAUAGCCCAUUGUCGCAUACAGUGGUUGGGAUUGAGGAACUCAGCAUGCCGCAAGGCCGGGUCUUUUGACCACGCUCAUGCUUAGGAUGCUGGCAUAAUGGCUUUAAUCGACCCGUCUUGAAACACGGACCAAGGAGUCUAACAUGCCUGCGAGUGUUUGGGUGGAAAACUCAUGCGCGUAAUGAAAGUGAAAGUUGAGAUCUCUUUGGAGAGCAUUGACGCCCAGACCAGACCUUCUGUGACGGAUCUGCGGUAGAGCAUGUAUGUUGGGACCCGAAAGAUGGUGAACUAUGCCUGAAUAGGGUGAAGCCAGAGGAAACUCUGGUGGAGGCUCGUAGCGAUUCUGACGUGCAAAUCGAUCGUCAAAUUUGGGUAUAGGGGCGAAAGACUAAUCGA